UUAGAGUUUGAUCCUGGCUCAGGAUGAACGCUAGCGGCAGGCUUAACACAUGCAAGUCGAGGGGCAGCAGGGAGUAGCAAUACUCCGCUGGCGACCGGCGCACGGGUGCGUAACGCGUAUGCAACCUACCUUCAACAGGGAGAUAACCCAGGGAAACCAGGACUAAUAUCCCAUAUAGUCACGGGGCCGCAUGACCCUGUGACGAAAGAAAUUCGGUUUGAGAUGGGCAUGCGUGACAUUAGGUAGUUGGCGGGGCAACGGCCCACCAAGCCGACGAUGUCUAGGGGAGCUGAGAGGCUUAUCCCCCACACUGGUACUGAGACACGGACCAGACUCCUACGGGAGGCAGCAGUGAGGAAUAUUGGUCAAUGGACGGAAGUCUGAACCAGCCAUGCCGCGUGAGGGAAGAAUGCCCUAUGGGUUGUAAACCUCUUUUAUCUGGGAGCAAUAAGGGCCAUGCGUGGUUCGAUGAGAGUACCAGAGGAAUAAGCAUCGGCUAACUCCGUGCCAGCAGCCGCGGUAAUACGGAGGAUGCAAGCGUUAUCCGGAUUUAUUGGGUUUAAAGGGUGCGUAGGCGGAGCGCUAAGUCAGCGGUGAAAUAUCCCGGCUCAACCGGGAGGCUGCCGUUGAUACUGGCGUUCUCGAGUCCGAACGGCGCCGGCGGAAUGUGUCAUGUAGCGGUGAAAUGCAUAGAUAUGACACAGAACACCGAUCGCGAAGGCAGCUGGCGAGGACGUGACUGACGCUGAGGCACGAAAGCGUGGGGAUCAAACAGGAUUAGAUACCCUGGUAGUCCACGCAGUAAACGAUGAUGACUUGUUGUCGGCGAUACAAUGUCGGUGACAAAGCGAAAGCGAUAAGUCAUCCACCUGGGGAGUACGAUCGCAAGGUUGAAACUCAAAGGAAUUGACGGGGGCCCGCACAAGCGGAGGAACAUGUGGUUUAAUUCGAUGAUACGCGAGGAACCUUACCCGGGCUCGAACGGUGCAGGAAGAGAUCCAGAGAUAGUGACGUCCCUUCGGGGACCUGUAUCGAGGUGCUGCAUGGUUGUCGUCAGCUCGUGUCGUGAGAUGUUGGCUCAAGUGCCAUAACGAGCGCAACCCUUGCUGUCAGUUACCAGCACGUAAUGGUGGGGACUCUGACAGGACUGCCACCGUAAGGUGUGAGGAAGGCGGGGAUGACGUCAAAUCAGCACGGCCCUUACGUCCGGGGCGACACACGUGUUACAAUGACAGCUACAGAGGGGAGCUACCUGGCGACAGGAUGCAGAUCUCGAAAAGCUGCCUCAGUUCGGACUGGAGUCUGCAACCCGACUCCACGAAGCUGGAUUCGCUAGUAAUCGCGCAUCAGCCAUGGCGCGGUGAAUACGUUCCCGGGCCUUGUACACACCGCCCGUCAAG
Molecule: ribosomal RNA, 1400 nt
Filed under: uncultured bacterium
Lineage: Bacteria
Description: bacterial SSU rRNA
Rfam family: Bacterial small subunit ribosomal RNA
Source: RNAcentral